AAGCACAUUUCAUUGUCUUAUUCUUUAUAUUAAGAGAAAAGAUAUUUCUAAUGUGCUAAAUAAACCCCUGGAGGUAAAUUAGCGGCAUGACUAAUUUAGCCAUUGUUGUCAGUCUCCUUCAGACAACC
RNAcentral lists this small nucleolar RNA (128 nucleotides) under Moschus moschiferus (Siberian musk deer). The record is from RNAcentral. Lineage: Eukaryota; Metazoa; Chordata; Mammalia; Artiodactyla; Moschidae.